GGAGAGUUGGCAGAGUGGUCGAAUGCGGCGGUCUCGAAAACCGUUGUACUCGCAAGAGUACCGAAGGUUCGAAUCCUUCACUCUCCGCCA
Molecule: transfer RNA, 90 nt
Filed under: Candidatus Omnitrophota bacterium
Lineage: Bacteria; Pseudomonadati; Candidatus Omnitrophota
Description: tRNA-Ser
Rfam family: tRNA
About the family: Transfer RNA (tRNA) molecules are approximately 80 nucleotides in length.
Source: RNAcentral